UGGUGGAGCGAUUUGUCUGGUCAAUUCCGAUAACGAACGAGACUCUAGCCUACUAAAUAGUUCGGGGACCCCCACAAAGGGGCCCCGCUUCAACUUCUUAGAGGGACAGGUGGCGUUUAGCCAUACGAGAUUGAGCAAUAACA
This 143-nucleotide ribosomal RNA is filed under the name uncultured eukaryote. RNAcentral's name for it is "partial 18S ribosomal RNA". It matches the Rfam family "Eukaryotic small subunit ribosomal RNA", at positions 1299 to 1458 of the family's 1831-position model. The record is from RNAcentral.